AGCAGCCGCGGUAAUUCCAGCUCCAAUAGCGUAUAUUAAAGUUGCUGCAGUUAAAAAGCUCGUAGUUGAAUUUCGGGACCAAUAUGUCGGUCGUGCUUCGGUACGUACUGUCAUUAUUGGUUUCUCCCUUCUGAAGAACCUUGAUGUCAUUAAUUUGGUGUCUUGGGGAAUCAGGACUGUUACUUUGAAAAAAUUAGAGUGUUUAAAGCAGGCUCGCGCUUGAAUACAUUAGCAUGGAAUAAUGAAAUAGGACGUUUGAUUCUAUUUUGUUGGUUUCUAGGAUCGACGUAAUGAUUAAUAGGGAUAGUUGGGGGCAUUAGUAUUCAAUUGUCAGAGGUGAAAUUCUUGGAUUUAUUGAAGACUAACUACUGCGAAAGCAUUUGCCAAGGAUGUUUUCAUUAAUCAAGAACGAAAGUUAGGGGAUCGAAGACGAUCAGAUACCGUCGUAGUCUUAACCAUAAACUAUGCCGACUAGGGAUCGGAUGAUGUUAAUUUUUUAAUUAGAUCA
This 508-nucleotide small RNA is filed under the name uncultured Glomus. Its description in RNAcentral is "SSU rRNA". It matches the Rfam family "Eukaryotic small subunit ribosomal RNA", at positions 569 to 1082 of the family's 1831-position model. The record is from RNAcentral. Lineage: Eukaryota; Fungi; Glomeromycota; Glomeromycetes; Glomerales; Glomeraceae.